GGUAGUGUGUACGCAGACCUUACCCCUACCCUAGGGUAGAGAGGUUGUUUCCAAAUAGACCCUCGACAUCCUUCCCUCCAAGAAUUUCCCACCUUGCUAUUGGGGAGACUCAAACUCACAACCUCUUGGUUGGAGAUGGAGGUUGCUUACCCUCAGAGCAACCCCUUGGAGGUUGAUCUAAUAUCAGGGCAAUUCACGAAAGGUACCUAAGAAAGCCUAGAGAACCAGGGGCACAUAUCACCAUGCAAUUGUGUGCAUAUAGAACAAAUAUAUACAUGAUAUCUGCACAUCAU
This 293-nucleotide long non-coding RNA is filed under the name Nicotiana benthamiana. Its description in RNAcentral is "long non-coding RNA (NBEN_LNC042372)". The record is from RNAcentral. Lineage: Eukaryota; Viridiplantae; Streptophyta; Magnoliopsida; Solanales; Solanaceae.